UAAUACGUAGGUGGCAAGCGUUGUCCGGAAUUAUUGGGCGUAAAGCGCGCGCAGGCGGUCCUUUAAGUCUGAUGUGAAAGCCCACGGCUCAACCGUGGAGGGUCAUUGGAAACUGGGGGACUUGAGUGCAGAAGAGGAAAGUGGAAUUCCAAGUGUAGCGGUGAAAUGCGUAGAGAUUUGGAGGAACACCAGUGGCGAAGGCGACUUUCUGGUCUGUAACUGACGCUGAGGCGCGAAAGCGUGGGGAGCAAACAGGAUUAGAUACCCUGGUAGUCCACGCCGUAAACGAUGAGUGCUAAGUGUUAGGGGGUUUCCGCCCCUUAGUGCUGCAGCUAACGCAUUAAGCACUCCGCCUGGGGAGUACGGUCGCAAGACUGAAACUCAAAUGAAUUGACGG
This 397-nucleotide ribosomal RNA is filed under the name uncultured bacterium. Its description in RNAcentral is "bacterial SSU rRNA". It matches the Rfam family "Bacterial small subunit ribosomal RNA", at positions 521 to 916 of the family's 1533-position model. The record is from RNAcentral.